UGGAUCCAGACUUUGAUUAUGGCUCAGGACGAACGCUGGCGGCGUGCCUAAUACAUGCAAGUCGAGCGAGCUGAAUUCAAAGAUUCCUUCGGGAUGAUUUGUUGGAUGCUAGCGGCGGAUGGGUGAGUAACACGUGGGCAAUCUGCCCUAAAGACUGGGAUACCACUUGGAAACAGGUGCUAAUACCGGAUAACAACAUGAAUCGCAUGAUUCAAGUUUGAAAGGCGGCGUAAGCUGUCACUUUAGGAUGAGCCCGCGGCGCAUUAGCUAGUUGGUGGGGUAAAGGCCUACCAAGGCAAUGAUGCGUAGCCGAGUUGAGAGACUGAUCGGCCACAUUGGGACUGAGACACGGCCCAAACUCCUACGGGAGGCAGCAGUAGGGAAUCUUCCACAAUGGACGCAAGUCUGAUGGAGCAACGCCGCGUGAGUGAAGAAGGUUUUCGGAUCGUAAAGCUCUGUUGUUGGUGAAGAAGGAUAGAGGCAGUAACUGGUCUUUAUUUGACGGUAAUCAACCAGAAAGUCACGGCUAACUACGUGCCAGCAGCCGCGGUAAUACGUAGGUGGCAAGCGUUGUCCGGAUUUAUUGGGCGUAAAGCGAGCGCAGGCGGAAUGAUAAGUCUGAUGUGAAAGCCCACGGCUCAACCGUGGAACUGCAUCGGAAACUGUCAUUCUUGAGUGCAGAAGAGGAGAGUGGAACUCCAUGUGUAGCGGUGGAAUGCGUAGAUAUAUGGAAGAACACCAGUGGCGAAGGCGGCUCUCUGGUCUGCAACUGACGCUGAGGCUCGAAAGCAUGGGUAGCGAACAGGAUUAGAUACCCUGGUAGUCCAUGCCGUAAACGAUGAGCGCUAGGUGUUGGGGACUUUCCGGUCCUCAGUGCCGCAGCAAACGCAUUAAGCGCUCCGCCUGGGGAGUACGACCGCAAGGUUGCAACUCAAAGGAAUUGAGCGGA
Molecule: ribosomal RNA, 949 nt
Filed under: uncultured organism
Description: bacterial SSU rRNA
Rfam family: Bacterial small subunit ribosomal RNA
Source: RNAcentral